RNAcentral lists this ribosomal RNA (508 nucleotides) under Trimeresurus sp. Lee2017. RNAcentral describes it as "partial 16S ribosomal RNA". It matches the Rfam family "Bacterial large subunit ribosomal RNA", at positions 1816 to 2600 of the family's 2925-position model. The record is from RNAcentral. Lineage: Eukaryota; Metazoa; Chordata; Lepidosauria; Squamata; Viperidae.
AACCUUUAGCUAAACAAGUAUUAAAGGCGACGCCUGCCCAGUGAAUAAUUAAACGGCCGCGGUAUCCUAACCGUGCAAAGGUAGCAUAAUCAUUUGUCUAUUAAUUGUAGACCUGUAUGAAAGGCUAAAUGAGAAUCCAACUGUCUCUUACAACAAAUCGAUAAAACUGAUCUCCUAGUACAAAAGCUAGAAUACUAACAUAAGACCAGAAGACCCUGUGAAGCUUUAACAAACCCAUUAAACCAAAUAAUGCUUACUUUCGGUUGGGGCGACCUUGGAAUAAAAAAGAACUUCCAACAUAUGACCUCCUCAUAAAACUAAGGCAAACAAGCCAAUACUAGACCCAGCACAGCUGAUAAUUGAAAUAAGUUACUCCAGGGAUAACAGCGCUAUCUUCUUUAAGAGCCCAUAUCAAAAAGAAGGUUUACGACCUCGAUGUUGGAUCAGGACAUCCCAGUAAUGCAACCGUUACUAAAGGUUCGUUUGUUCAACGAUUAACAGUCCUACG